This 440-nucleotide ribosomal RNA is filed under the name uncultured bacterium. RNAcentral describes it as "partial 16S ribosomal RNA". It matches the Rfam family "Bacterial small subunit ribosomal RNA", at positions 338 to 795 of the family's 1533-position model. The record is from RNAcentral.
CCUACGGGAGGCAGCAGUGGGGAAUAUUGCACAAUGGGGGGAACCCUGAUGCAGCAACGCCGCGUGGGUGAAGAAGUACUCCGGUAUGUAAAGCCCUGUCAGCAGGGAAGAAAAUGACGGUACCUGACCAAGAAGCCCCGGCUAACUACGUGCCAGCAGCCGCGGUAAUACGUAGGGGGCAAGCGUUAUCCGGAUUUACUGGGUGUAAAGGGAGCGUAGACGGCGAUGCAAGUCUGAAGUGAAAGGCGGGGGCCCAACCCCUGGACUGCUUUGGAAACUGUAUGGCUGGAGUGCAGGAGAGGUAAGUGGAAUUCCUAGUGUAGCGGUGAAAUGCGUAGAUAUUAGGAGGAACACCAGUGGCGAAGGCGGCUUACUGGACUGUAACUGACGUUGAGGCUCGAAAGCGUGGGGAGCAAACAGGAUUAGAUACCCUUGUAGUC